ACAUGCAGUCGAGCGGGGGACGUUGCUUCUGUUCUCGACCUAACGGCGGACGGGUGAGUGAUACUUGUGAGUCUGCCUGUUAGUGGGGGGCGGCUUCUCGAAGGGGAUGCUAAUACCGCACACGCCCUACCGGGGAAAGCAGGGGAUCGCUUGUGACCUUGCUUGCCUACAUAAGCCCCCAUCUGAUUAUCUAUUUGGUGGGGUAAAGGCCUACCCCUGCGACAAUAUGUCUCGGGUCUGAGAGGAUGAUCCCCCCCACUGGGACUGAGACACGGCCCACACACCCCCGGGAGGCGCCAGUGGGGAAUAUUGUACAAUGGGGGGAACCCUGAUCCACCCAUGCCGCGUGUGUGAAAAAAGCCUUAUGGUUGUAAAGCACUUUUUCCGAGGAGAAGGCUCUUUUGGUUAAUACCCCCGAUGAGUGGACGUUACUCCCAGAAUAAACCCCGGCUAACUCUGUGCCCGCAGCCCGCGGUAAUACAGAGGGGUGCGAGCGUUAAUCGGAUUUACUGGGCGUAAAGCGCGCGCAGGCGGCUCUGUUAAGUCAGAUGUGAAAUCCCCGAGCUCAACUUGGGAAUUGCAUUCGAUACUGGGCGAGCUAGAGUAUGGUAGAGGAUGGUAGAAUUCCAGGUGUAGCGGUGAAAUGCGUAGAGAUCUGGAGGAAUACCGGUGGCGAAGGCGGCCAUCUGGACUAAUACUGACGCUGAGGUGCGAAAGCGUGGGGAGCAAACAGGAUUAGAUACCCUGGUAGUCCACGCCGUAAACGAUGUCUACUAGCCGGUUGGUGNCUUUGAGACGUUUANUGGCCGCAGCUAACGCGAUAAGUAGACCGCCUGGGGGAGUACGGUCGCAAGACUAAAACUCAAAUGAAUUGACGGGGGCCCGCACAGCGGUGGAACAUGUUGGUUUAAUUUCGAUGCAACGCGAAGAUCCU
Molecule: ribosomal RNA, 934 nt
Filed under: Acinetobacter sp. Taif A1
Lineage: Bacteria; Pseudomonadati; Pseudomonadota; Gammaproteobacteria; Moraxellales; Moraxellaceae
Description: bacterial SSU rRNA
Rfam family: Bacterial small subunit ribosomal RNA
Source: RNAcentral